This 485-nucleotide ribosomal RNA is filed under the name uncultured bacterium. RNAcentral's name for it is "partial 16S ribosomal RNA". It matches the Rfam family "Bacterial small subunit ribosomal RNA", at positions 30 to 507 of the family's 1533-position model. The record is from RNAcentral.
AUUGAACGCUGGCGGCAUGCCUUACACAUGCAAGUCGAACGGCAGCACGGGUGCUUGCACCUGGUGCGAGUGGCGAACGGGUGAGUAAUACAUCGGAACAUGUCCUGUAGUGGGGGAUAGCCCGGCGAAAGCCGGAUUAAUACCGCAUACGAUCCACGGAUGAAAGCGGGGGACCUUCGGGCCUCGCGCUAUAGGGUUGGCCGAUGGCUGAUUAGCUAGUUGGUGGGGUAAAGGCCUACCAAGGCGACGAUCAGUAGCUGGUCUGAGAGGACGACCAGCCACACUGGGACUGAGACACGGCCCAGACUCCUACGGGAGGCAGCAGUGGGGAAUUUUGGACAAUGGGCGAAAGCCUGAUCCAGCAAUGCCGCGUGUGUGAAGAAGGCCUUCGGGUUGUAAAGCACUUUUGUCCGGAAAGAAAUCCUUGACUCUAAUACAGUCGGGGGAUGACGGUACCGGAAGAAUAAGCACCGGCUAACUACGUG